UACGAAGGGGGCUAGCGUUGCUCGGAAUUACUGGGCGUAAAGGGCGCGUAGGCGGACAGUUUAGUCAGGGGUGAAAUCCUGGAGCUCAACUCCAGAACUGCCUUUGAUACUGAAGAUCUUGAGUUCGGGAGAGGUGAGUGGAACUGCGAGUGUAGAGGUGAAAUUCGUAGAUAUUCGCAAGAACACCAGUGGCGAAGGCGGCUCACUGGCCCGAUACUGACGCUGAGGCACGAAAGCGUGGGGAGCAAACAGG
Molecule: ribosomal RNA, 253 nt
Filed under: uncultured bacterium
Lineage: Bacteria
Description: partial 16S ribosomal RNA
Rfam family: Bacterial small subunit ribosomal RNA
Source: RNAcentral